This 305-nucleotide ribosomal RNA is filed under the name uncultured bacterium. RNAcentral describes it as "bacterial SSU rRNA". It matches the Rfam family "Bacterial small subunit ribosomal RNA", at positions 333 to 630 of the family's 1533-position model. The record is from RNAcentral.
UUCGGCCUACGGGGCGCAGCAGUAGGGAAUUUUCGUCAAUGGGCGCAAGCCUGAACGAGCAAUGCCGCGUGAACGAGGAAGGUCUUCGGAUCGUAAAGUUCUGUUGAAGGGGAAAAAGAGCGGAGAGAGGAAAUGAACUCCGAUUGAUAUUACCCUUCGAGGAAGUCACGGCUAACUACGUGCCAGCAGCCGCGGUAAUACGUAGGUGGCGAGCGUUAUCCGGAAUGAUUGGGCGUAAAGGGAGCGCAGGCGGCACGGCAAGCCUGAUGUGAAAGCCCGCGGCCCAACCGCGGGACGGCAUUGGG